GAUGAACGCUAGCGGGAGGCCUAACACAUGCAAGCCGAGCGGUAUUUGUCUUUCGGGACAGAGAGAGCGGCGUACGGGUGCGGAACACGUGUGCAACCUGCCUUUAUCAGGGGGAUAGCCUUUCGAAAGGAAGAUUAAUACCCCAUAAUAUAUCUGAUGGCAUCAUUAGAUAUUGAAAACUCCGGUGGAUAGAGAUGGGCACGCGCAAGAUUAGAUAGUUGGUGAGGUAACGGCUCACCAAGUCAGUGAUCUUUAGGGGGCCUGAGAGGGUGCUCCACCACACUGGUACUGGGACACGGACCAGACUCCUACGGGAGGCAGCAGUGAGGAAUAUUGGACAAUGGGUGCGAGCCUGAUCCAGCCAUCCCGCGUGAAGGACGACGGUUCUAUGGAUUGUAAACUUCUUUUAUACUGGGAUAAACCUACUCUCGUGAGGGUAGCUGAAGGUACAGUAUGAAUAAGCACCGGCUAACUCCGUGCCAGCAGCCGCGGUAA
This 495-nucleotide ribosomal RNA is filed under the name uncultured bacterium. Its description in RNAcentral is "partial 16S ribosomal RNA". It matches the Rfam family "Bacterial small subunit ribosomal RNA", at positions 28 to 523 of the family's 1533-position model. The record is from RNAcentral.